CGUUUAAUAGUUUGUAAGUUAUUCGAUUGUCGACACGAUACGGUUAUCGGUGUAUCGUGGUGUUGGAUCGAAAUAUCCGAUAACGUAGUAUCCGUAGAUUUAUACAUCUGAACGGAGUGUUUCAAUUGGCCGUCCGCGGUGUUCAAAUUCGCUCUCUCUCUCACACUGCGCUUUAUUAUCGGUCUAUCUCUCUUGACGCGAACGAUCCGUCUAGAUGCACAAGUCUACGGUGGCAUUCGACAUUUUUAAAUAUAUAAAUAGGUGGGUACUGAAACAGUUUAUUAAUGUUGUUAGCACAAAACAGAUUUACACGCUAAUGCGGUAGGAAUAGUAGUCGCGCGGGAAAUUUUAGGAAAAAAUCGAAAAAAAAAAAAAAAAAACAAAACAAAUUUAUCGCACAAUAAUAUUCAAUAUUGUCUCUCGGUUAGGUAGAGCGUUAUUUCGUUUGCCGUCUCGUCAAUACGCGUUUACAAGUAGGUAACCUAUGUGUGUAUGCACGUUGUUCUCUUAAAAUAAACCGCUGCAGUGUCGCGCACUGAAAAUUGUGCGAGCGAUGGCAAAUGGGACGGCCCGGUGUGCCCAGGACUGGCUUGGAAAAUAUAGAGGCCCGUUUUGCGGGGCCUCAAUAAGUCUCGGAUCCGGAACGUGUUCUGUUUGUCCACCCUCCAGCACCGAGCGUAGGCGGUUCUUUGCAAUACGAUUGUACCUCGUUUCGUUAGUCGCUUAAUGUUAGUUUUCCUAAAUAACCAUUCGGAAUUGCCGUCCAGCUACGAUUGCGUCUAGACGCGUGACCCAUAAAAGCACGGGCGAGAGGGAAG
Cinara cedri is the source of this 818-nucleotide non-coding RNA. The record is from the annotation of a GenBank genome assembly. NCBI's taxonomy places the organism in Eukaryota, Metazoa, Arthropoda, Insecta, Hemiptera, Aphididae.